This 80-nucleotide transfer RNA is filed under the name Promethearchaeota archaeon. RNAcentral describes it as "Candidatus Lokiarchaeota archaeon tRNA-Val". The record is from RNAcentral. Lineage: Archaea; Promethearchaeati; Promethearchaeota.
GAGCCCGUGGUCUAGUGGUUAUGACGAUGCGCUUACACCGCAUAGGUCGGGAGUUCGAUAUCUGUUUUCAUUUGGGAGCA